AGCGUGCGUUACAGGGAAGAGAUGCGCUCACAUGUAACAAAGGCGCUUGGCUGGUCUCCUGUUUGAGGAACUAAUUUUUCAAAAAAUCUGCCUUUGGGCACUGCAGCACCCCGUGUUCCCCUGCUUCCGCACCCCUCCUCUUUCCCUGUGGUUGCCCGCACCAGGCUGGGCACUGUGCAGAUGCAGCAGCCCCUCGAUGCUUCAUCCUUCUCUAAUCCCAUCCUGUUCCGCUAAUCGCCUCGCCAAAGCUUUGACACGAGGUGGUAAGGACCAGGCGUAGCGUUCCAGCCUUGCGUUAGGUUUGGAGCAUCCCUGGCACACGUGAUUGGGAAAUAAAAACUGUGGCUCGAGGGUAGAUCCCAACAGUGCGAGGGAGAAGCGGCCAGAAAAUGGCACCUGGGGCGUUGCUGCGCAGCCAGCUGUGCGCGGGGAGCAGCGAGCGGAGGUGGGAGGACGCAGCUCCCUUGGCGGAGCAGCGGGGUUCUUAUUUUAGCGUGGAAGACGGCCAAAGAUAAGGAGCGGUUGUCAUCCGGCUGCUGGGAGGACUUGCGGAACAACAACAACAAAAAGCUUUGUGGAGGUGGAAAUGUUUUCAUAUGGGUACUGGGAAAAAAAAAAAAAAAAGCAGAUAACCUUGUGAGUGAUGGACUUGCCACAUGAAGCUGGCGGUACGAGGUUCUACCCGUAAAAACCAGAAUGAUCCUAAUUAAGCCCAGAUCCCGUUAAGUGACACGUGGCUUUAUUCAUUUCAGAUGUUUCUAGGUCCUAGAGAUGGGGCCAAAUGUGAAGAGUUUGAUGUGGCAGAGAGUUUAACCCCAAUUAUUUCGACAUAAAUCACGUGAUUGUUACAGUAGCCAAGUACGUGUGAUGGGUGCCCCCGAGCUGCCAAGUAAAAAGAUGCUUAUGUAUUUUCAAAAAUAUCCAUGAAAAACCUUUGAAGACCAUUAGAGACAGUGCCUGAAGGUCUGCUUGUAGGACACACAGCUGAAAUGGGAGCUUCCCAGAGCCGGCAGGUGGGGAAAGAGCAGUGACAUAGGAGAUGAGUGGUCUCCUCGCAAAGCUGGGGUGCGUAAAUGAUGUGGGGUAGUGAUGGCUUUUCUAGUUGGAGUGGAAGGGGCAGGUUGAGGAUGCAUGGUGCUGGCCAUGAAUGGCUUCGCUUGGAGGUCAGGCUGCCCUGGGUCAUGUCUCCAGAAAUGGCAUCUGCGGAGUAACAGUACAGCAAUAUUUUGGUAGCCUUUCAUAUACCAUCUUUAGAAAGACGGUCGUUUCCUUUUCUCUUUGUUUUGUUUUGCUCAAAGCCUUUCUGAAUUAUCUCUGAAGACACCAGAUUUCAAAAAGUAGGUAACUAGCUUUGUGAGAAGUUGUAGGCUAUGAACCAUCACUGACCUUCCUCCGUUCUCCUCUGGAAUUUCCUUUCCUAUUUUUUCCAGUGUUGUCCAUCUUUCCCAGCGCACUGAACAACCCCGUAAUUUGGCCCCUCUGUGAAGGAGCCACUUUGUCAAGUGACGUAGUGGCCAGUUCUGGCUUCCUCCUAUCUUCCAGCAGAUCUGCCCACAUGUAUAGCAGCCACAUAGCAGUGCUGUAGUAUGGGUGAGAAGCAGGUUGACCUCCCCACCCCAGUGAGUUUCAGGGAGGUUGCUGGACAUCUGAGGCUGUAGUUCCCCAUCCAGUGACUGCAGGCUGGUUUUGAAGAGCAGUUUGUCCUCCAGCACCUUUGUUUGGUUCAACCUUUCAGUUAUGUUUCUGCUCUUACUGUGACAUGGAAACAAAGAGGCUGCAGAAAUAUGGUGGCUACCAGGAAGGCCAGGAGAACAAUGGCUCUCACGUGCUCUGGCAGACGGUGCAUUUUUCAUGGCAAAGCCAGGUUAUUUGGAGGAGUGCAGGUCUUGCAUUCCAGUGAAAAAUAAUUCAUUAACGGCCAGAGAAUAAGCGCUUUGCUCCAAAAAAGCACUCCAGCUGCAUUGCACCAACUGUUCUUUUUCAGCCUCUGAAUCCUUAAUGACAGUAGUAGCUAAUUUCUCUUUUCUGUGUUUUUCUAACUGCAGUGUCCUAUUUUCUCUGAGUUUAUUGAGAAAAUAAUAGAAGUCAUUACAUAGCUACUUGUCACCUUUCAGAGAAGAAAACUUCUCCCUGGUUGAAUGGCCAAGUUAGUUGUUUGGUGACUGACUGGAACAAUAGUAACUUUUUGUAGCUCAUCAGUUAUUCAUCUAUGCUUAGUGAAUAAACUAAUUAGUUAGAGGAGUGUCACUUAACUUAUGGUCCAUGAGUAUCAGAAGACGAUGAAUAAAAUACUCGCAGACAGUAUAGCAGUUACACAUGUGCAUUCUGUUGCACUCCAGCAAAAAAAAUACGGGGUCAAGAAGUGACAAAGUGAGUAAUGUGUAUUCAUUGUACAUUUUUUUUUAUGUUUUAUUAUCUUUGAAAGCUUAUGUGACAGUACUGCAUUAAAUUGUCCUUGGUUUAAAAAAAAUACUUAGGUGGUCCUUUGGUUGAAGGAAAGAUAUCGAGGAGCAUUGAACUGAAUGAUGCAAAAGGGCAAUGAGAAUAGAAAUGUGGAAAACUAAAUAAAGCGUAUUUUUGUGUUUAUGAUGCACAUCUUUCUGUUGCUUGGUGAUGGAUGGCUUGCUGUAGAGCUGUACUCACACGAGGCCAUUGCAAAGCAAACAGGAAGGGCAACGUGUUGUUUUUUUAAUUGGGAUUUUCCUAACCCAGCAGCCAGGCAUUGCCACCAGAAUAAUAGCUGCCCUUUCUUCCAGCCUUGGUGAUGGAUGGGCUGGAGGCAGGAAGGUGGCUCUGGCCGAGAGGUGGGGCCAAGGCCUGCAACCCUGUGGUGGUACGGGCGUCGCCUGGGCUGGGCCUUGCUCUGCGUGCUGGGAGCACCAGGAGUCCAUAGGAAGGGAUGUCCAAAUAGUUGUUGUUUUUUUAAAAACAAAAUCUUAUCUACUUCCCUGGGGAAAAAAGAAGAGAACUUCCAUGCUUUGUUUGGAAGAAUCUUGUCUGUGGAACUGUCUUGCAUGGUAUUCUCUUUGGGGUCCUGAAAGAAACUUAAGGCAGGGGCUGAGCCCAGAUGCCUAGCCUUUGGGGAAAGUCUUCCACAAGCCCCACUGGAAAGUGGCUGGAUCACAAGACUCUGCCUGAAAAAUCAGUGGGUCUGUAGCCCUGGAGAGUCUCCCGUUGGACAGCAGAGGCUGCUCGCUACGUGGGGGAGAGCAUGUGGUGUGUAGGUACAUGCGCCCAGGCCCAUGCAUACUAAUGUAAGCCUGUCCUAGAAGAAGGAAGAGAAGAGCCUUGCUGUUGUAGUCAUGAGGUGCAGUUAGUUCAUCCCUGGGGGCAGAUAGAGUUGUCUCUCACUGUUCUGGUAUAGGAGGACCUCUGUAUGGUGAGAGUGGAUUCACAAGGCUUCUGUGAUGGAAGCAACAGAGUUGUGUGUCACAGCUCUUCUGUGCUGGGCAUGCAGGAUAUCUCGAAGGAUGUUGUGCUCCAGUGGGGCUGGUGGUGUCAACCUCAGUAUCUCAUUUCUCAUCCAGCCAUUAUAUUAAGCAGCCGUUCAGCUUAACAAAGACUGCUUGGCUGAGCUCCAGUAGGUGCUGGAGCUAAAGGGAUGUUGUUAGGAGGAAGAAAGCAGUGGUAAGGAGUUGCAUCCCUGCUCAGUGAGGGAAUGCACUACCCUCUAAUUCAGAUUUGCUGUCUAAGUCCUUAAGUGACUGUUUAUUUUUUAUUUUUUUGGUUUUUUUAGAUGCUCAGAUUGCAGCCAUGGGUAAUCCCAGUAGUGUUUAGGCAUGAUACCAUCACUUGUGUUUUAGGAUAUGUUCUGACUGUCAUGGUAACUUCCUAUCUUCCAGAGAGAAUCGUGACACUGAUGGGGUUAGCCCCAAGUGCUGCUACAUACCACAGAAAAGAAAGUGAAAGCCAAGCAUGGCAGUAGGCCGCAGUCCUUAUGUUUGUAGCAUGUAGCUGCAGAGCUGGCUGUGCAAUGGAGGGACUUAGCAUGGCCUCCCAGCUCCUAACCACAAGGCAGCUGACCCCGAAAUGGUUAAGUCAGAAGAUGAGGGGAAUGCUGAUCAUGAAGGGGCUCCGGACAUCUUGGCCAUGCUGUAGUUGCUGGAGAGGCUUGUCAACACUCCUGCUUCCUGUUUGCUUUCUGGUGGGGCUGAAGAGCUCUUUGCUUUGAAGCACAAAGGCCCAAAUACUUCAGGGCUCAGUGCUUCUGAAACUUCUUUUCUUGAGGAGAGGUGCCACUGAACUUCCAAGGAGCUGAGGUUCUCUCAUGUUUAAAAAGGAAGGGGGUGUUUCUAUUAGAGUUUCCUGUUUUGAACUCUUUAGUUACAGAAGGAUUGUCUUUUUGUAUUUUGUAUUUGUAGAUGUAGUGCAUUUAUAUGGAUUAUUUUCAUUUUAUCUUAUUUUUAUGUGUUUUGAUUUGUGCAAAUGAAUUUUCCCAUUCUAUCUGAGGCUGCUGCUUUAAGGAAGUCUAAGUAAGGUUUCCUGUCAGGAAUGGUUUAGAUGUAGUUGAAUCUUGCCCUGGGGCCAGAGGACGGCUCAGACAACUUAUCAAGAUCCUCUUCAGGACCUUUCCAAUGGUUCUAGGCAGUUACCAGGUAAAAUAAAUUUGUAGUAAGUUGUUCUGGUUAUGCUGAUAGGAUUUCACUGUAGCAUUUAACAUGGAUGCUUGUUUGAAAAGGAAGUAAUAGUUAUUUGUAGUAUAGUUACUGCUGCUGAAUUUGCCAAACAUUUCUUAAAAUUACGGAGGAAAACAACCGAUGUUACAUUUUCAGACUAACAUUAUGAUAUGGCUGUGAUUAAUUUUUCCAGGAGCUGUGUGGUUUUUAUAUCUGCUUAAGUGUAUUAACAUUUUAAAAGGUCAAAGGUAAGCUUUAAAAUGGAUGCCAAAUUAAGAUGGAUGGGAGGAAAAUGACAUUUAGUUCUUGUUACUGCAUAUUGUUUGAAUUUGACCAAAGGCAAAAACAAAACAAAGAAUCACCCUCCCCCCAGACAGACAGACACAGAUGCACAUGUACACUCCCUCCACCUGAUAUCCUGGCAUACCUGCUCCAGGAAAACCUUAGUGGUGCAGGAAGAUCCUCACCCUAACAAAAAAUUAGUGGUCUUUGCUUCCAGAUGGUCUAAGUACCCCUCUGCGAAGCCUCUCAUUUAACUAAUGUGAGUGAACUCUCUAAAUAAAUCUAGCUAAAAUAUUUAUAUUAGGAAAAUACGGCUCAUGUGAACCAUAACCACACUACCAUUUCCUGCCCUUGCUGUGUUUGAGAUGACGGUUUCACCAGGGAGAAGGGACUGUGCUCCCGUCUGCAUCCACACAGCUCCUGGCAGACAAAGUCCUUCCAAAAUCAAAAAACAGGUUACAGUGGAAAUGGGUCCUCUGCUUCCGUGAGAACAGGGAGCUGCUCUCUGCAGGCACCAACGCGCUACAGCUCUGAUUUUGGAGAAAGCAGUAUAGCUUGCCAGGAGGACUGAAUCUGAUUUAUGCCCAUCGUUUCCACUCUUGCCCUGAAAUUAGGUUUAAGACCUGGGCUGCGAUGCACCGUGUUGUGGGAAUUAUGGCCACUCCAUUCUUUUAGGGACCCAGCACCUAUUUUAAAUUCCCUCCCCGCUAAUAAGAAGUCAUCCUCAGCAUCCCUUUUAGGGUGCUGAAAAUGUUUGUCCAAGGUUCUGACAAAAAGGAAAAAAAAAAGGGGAAAAAUGUGAAGUGUUCAAGCGCUUGGUUCCACUGUGAAAAUGUAUUUUUCAUUUCAAGCUGAAUUGAUUCCUUCAAGGCCUUGCUGCCCUCUGAGUGGAACAAACAGCACACUUUUAUUUUUUUGUUUAACCAAGAAAAAGGGGGAAAAAAAGUCCUUCAGUGGCUCAACCUAAACAUUUCUUUUUUUAAUUUUUUUUUUCAGCCUGGCCACUGUAGCAAACAAUUUCAUUAUUUGCAUAGCUCUAAUUGCAGUGAUUAAACAAACACAGCAAAUGCUGACCCUUCGCAGAGCCUCAUCACAACCCUACAGCCAACUUCGUCUGUGUUUUUUCCGCAGGGAGGGAGGGUGGAGUGGCUUUGUGCUAGGCUGAAAAGAAAUUACCGACGUUUAUUUAUUUUUUUCUUCAAACUGUUAUGCUGCCGACGUAGAGCAAGAGUAAUUUCACCCAUCCUCUUGCUGGCAGAUUCAGCGAUAUCACCGUGGUGUGAACCUGAUACAGCUGAAGAACAAUCGGGUUUCAAAUAACUUGCUCAUGUGUUACUCCCAAGCUGCAGCCUCCAGAGCCAUCAUUAGAAUAAUGUGUAGGAUUGAUACUCUGCUAGCAAUACUGAUACUAAAUCUAAGGGCUCAGAAGCAAACAUUUACACUUUCAUUUUUCAUGGUGCCGAUGGCAGGUACUCUAAUACAGGGUUAAGCAAAAUCUUAUCUGGCUGCAGUUCCAUCAAAUAGGAGCAAACAAUUUUUUUGGACAUUUUUUAAUGACAUUUAUUUAUAGCAGGUAGAGCACAGGCGGCUGCUAUUUCUCAGCAUGCUGGAAGAAUGUUCUCCAGAUGGUGCUUACUGUUUAUGCUUUUAUUCGGUUCACUUGAACACAGCAGCUCUCUACACAAAACACGGAAAAUUGGAAAAUAAAAACAAUUAUGUUUUUACAAAGUGUCACGUUGUUUGCUGAAAUGUCUUAUUUGACUGAUGAGAGAUGCUUCAGGGCAGCGCAGGGGAUCAUGCCUCUUGCACAGGCGCUCACCCAAAUGGGUGCAGGCAUCUCCCCAGCUUGAGGGGAUCUGCCAGUCUUCCCCACAUGGUGGGUUUUACGUGUUUUCUGGUGGUACCCUCGUAUGUGUGCCUCCCCUUUCUCCAGGGCUAUGGGUGAAUUUAGGAAGGGGGUGGUGAGUUGCCAUGGUUGAGUUUUCUUAGCCCAGGGUGGGAGAGAGGUCAGCCGUCCCUGAGCCCUCCUUGUGUCACCUUUUCCAUGGCUUCCAAUCUCCAUGCAGAAUAAAGUAUUGAGGUCUUCUGCUGGUCCAGGCUAAAAGCAGUGGCAAAGCUCAGGACUGGCACCCAAAAGGAGUGGUGUGAUCCACGGCAUCCUGUUACCGCGGUGGAGUUGUAGAUCCCCACACCAUCCAGUGGUGGGUGUGCUCUUGCCAUUGCAUUUACUCAGCCCUGGAAGGCUGGAAGGUUUAAAUAAAAGAAUGUGGAAUUUUAAGAAUAUUUUCUUGUAAGUAAUACUUGGAACAAUUUUCAAAAAUUGUUUGUUCUUUUUUUCUCAAUUUCUUUUUAAGAAAACAGACCAAUCAUCAAAGUAGAUUUCAACAAGAAGUUUUUUUUUUUAAAAAAAAAGCCUUUCAAUAAAUGUUUCUGGCUUCUGUCAGCAAACAGAACAAAAAACCAACAACAGUCCACAGCACUUCAGGACAAUUAUCCGACCAGCAAAAACCCUUUCCAGUUUAAACUUUCAAUUUGGACACAAUUAUUAUUUCUUUGUAAGUACAAGCCUUCAGUUUCCUUUGAAAUCCAGUUUCAAGCCAGCAAUACUUUCAGUGAAAUUGAAUUUCAAGAAAUGAACGUGUGAUAUGUCAUUCAACCCAUUUUGGGGAUUUCUUAGCUAAAUGGUGGAGCAGUGCUGCGCAGCGCUUCCAUUUCUCUCCUCCUGCAACCCAAGAGACAGCCCUUUUCCAACCCAAAUUCUUGCUACAUCAGCUACAUGCUGUUUAUCUUCAGCUGCUCCCUUGGCUGUUAUUAUUUCUUAAUGUGUUAAUUGUAGUUCCUGGACCCCAGCGUGUGAGCAUGUGUAAUGCUCGCUGUAAUGACGCCGAUGCGUUCUGUAGUUCCUGGAAUUGCAGAGAGAAAAUGUUACAUUUGUCCUGGGCACAGGGCAUCCAGUAAGGGAAACCAAUUACAAGAAUUCAAAUAGCGUAAAGAACAAAGUGGGUAAUUGGGAGGAGUACGCAGUGAGGCUCGGGUUUGGUUUUUUUUUUUUUUUUUUUUGCCUAUUCAAUUAUGGUUCCAACUAGUGGUCUUGCUUUGUGUGAUAUAUAUAUAUUUUAAUUAAAACUUGAAUUAUGUCGGUUGCUUUCCACCUUCUAACAAUAUUUCACUGUGAAUUCAUUCCUAAUAGCGAGUAGUCAGGGAUAAGGAAUGGCUUUGCUGAACGAUGAGGACUGUUAAUUAUUAAAAAGAAACCUAUGGAUUUAAAACAAAUUAGAACUCAUUAAGACGAGGUCUGUUUCCACACAGAGCAGCUGACAUGGAGAAGCACAUCUGUGAGCCUGGAAAAUGGCACUUUUUAGCUGACGCAUCCCUCGUAGAGGUGCACCUGUUCCACAGGGGUCCAGUUGCUGUUGGGACUCCUGUCAGAGAUCCCGGCUUGGCUUGGUUUUUGCUGUCCAAAUCUGGCUGUGACUCAGGUUGGUUCUUCUUAGGGGCUUUCUGUGGAACUUUGUAGAAAAUCCCGUGGGUUGAAUUGAUUGUUGGACACCAUAUGCAUAUAUAGCUAUGUACGGUUGCAGCCUACUUGUUUGAAGUUUUUGGAGGCGGUGGCUGUGUCCACAGGAAACUCCUGAUAAGGAGGGCAAAAGGUGAUGUAUGAGGAGUGUUUGAGAAUUUAAUUUUACGUUCCCAUAUGGGCUUUGCACCCCAGGAUUUGCUGUCAGGCUGAGACAUCCCUCAGACUGUCAGCAGCAUCACUGGGAGCGACACACUUGCAUCGGGAGAAGCAGCACCGCCAUUCUGCUGGCUAGAAAUCAGCAAUAACAUUUUGACAUCUGUGCAACAGUUUAAAAUGAAUUAUUCAGCACAUAGAUCGUGCUGUUGGAGCAGCCAGCGCAUCUCUGCCCAUUUACUGCUGUCAGUCCGUGAUGGAGAUGCCACUGGUGCCAGUGGGAAUGGAGCACAUGGGCUGGGGGUAGGUUUUGGCCCGUAGCCUGGAACAGCAUUUGACAGCACCCCUACAGAAUAUGAAGGGAAUGAUCUGCGUCACCAUCGACAAAGACCUAAGGCCAUGACAGUGUGCUGUUCUCUUGGACUGUUUUAAAUAGGUGCUGAAAAAAAAGGCCUUAAAUAAUUAGUGGUUCGGACUGUUCAAGUUAAGCACCAGAGAGCGAAGGAUGAGACUGGUGUGUUGCCUGUGAAUCCCCAGAUCCACCAAGCGUCUUGUGCCCGCUGGGAGCAGAUCCAGGCGCAGCCCAGCUGCAGGUCGCAGCCGGCCCCAGCUUCUGCCAGGCCCGGGACUGGUGCGAAGGAGUCACUGAUUCCUGUCAGCACAGAAAAUGUAUGAGAGCCGCAGGAAAAACGGCAUCUGAUUGGGAAAAACAUGGUGAACAGCGAUGAGAACGUGCUUUGGGGAACUGCAGGUGGGGGAGACUGGGAGGAAGUACAGAGCGGCUGAACAGCAGCAAAGACCAGGUCUGUUUGAGACAGGCUUGUAAGAGCGGAGGUGGGCAUUUAGCUUCCUAAUUCAGCACAGUCCUCUGAAUUCAAGCUGCGUAUGUGUUGUGAGUCUGGCAUCUGUUAUUUCACAAGAUGCCUGUUCCCUGUAGCUGCAUUUUAAAUAUAGAUGCAGAACACAGGACGAUAAAGUUCAGUGCUAUGGGUUAUUGGCGUUUCCUCACCUUCCUUCAAGUACUGUGCUGUAGCUGUCCACUGAUGAUUUAUUCAGCGGGCAAAAAUUUGGGAGCACAUGAAUAGCAUUGCAGGGUGCAACAAAAUCAGCAGUCUGGCAUUGUCUUUGUCCAUGUUUGGGUGACGGAGCACAGAGGCAGCCCAGAGGCUGUGCAGUCUCCUCCUUGGAGUCCUCCAAGACCCGCCUGGCCGUGGGCCUGGCUCCCUGCUCUGGGAGUGCUGCUGGGCCUGAUGGACGCAGAGGAGCCUGCCAGCUUCAGCCAUCCUGGGAUUCUACAGGUGGCUAGCUGAAAACCCAGCCUUCCCCAGUUUCUGUCCAUACUUGUGUUACACGUAACACCCUACCAUAUAAGUAGCCCAGUACUGCACUUGGAAAGGAAAGACAUAUUAUCCAGGUAACUAUAAAACAAAUGGCUAGCAUGUGUUAAAUUUCUCACGCAGGAAAGCAGAUCUAUAGAGAAAAGACACUUAAGCACAUAAUGAAAGUUAAGGAGAUCCUUAUGUCCUACUGAAGUCAGUAGCAUUUAAGCAUGUACUAAAACCUUUCCUGAAAUAGGGAUAUAAUACACUGAGAGUAACACAAAAGCUGUAAGACUGAUGCUGAACAGCUCUGAACCCCCUUGUGUGCAUGUAUGUGUAGCCUUACUGUCAGCAUCCCUGAGAGCUCUGCCAAACAAAGAGAAAUAAUGAUGAAUACUUCACAGCUCACGAUGCCCAGGUGCAGCUCUUUUGCAGGAGGUGGGUGACGCUCACCCGCUGCUUGGCACCAGCCGUCCUGCGGCUGCCAUUCCCAGCAGUGUGAGCUGGUGCCUGGUUGUGUACUGUCGUGCAGCCAGCACCAGCUGCAUGUGGCUAUGUGCGUGCCGUGUUUCUGUAAUGUCUGUGCUGGCUUUCUGUAUGGCUGCCAUCACCAAGGGCCUGCAUGUCCUCACGCUCUUUGAUCUACUCGCCAUCACUGCGCUCCUCGCAGGCAGAGGAAUGUUCUCGCCCCUUGGCAGCGAGCAGGAAGAGGCACAGGGAGAUGUCAGGUCGGAUUUUAAAAGGUUUUCUCACAUCCAUGUGGAGACACACUGGGGGAUGUUCUUCCAGGCCCUGUGUCUGUGGGCACUGGGCUCUGUGUGGGACGCUCGACCUCAUGUGGAAGGCUUGUGGCAGGGGACCGGAACGUGUAAGGACCAGGGAGGGAACCUGCCUUGCUGGUGCGUGUGGCAGGUGGUGAGCAACCAGGGACGUGCAGAAGACCAAAAAGAAAGGGAAAGAAGGUAAACAUCUAAAGUAAUGUAUGUAUGAGGGUGAAGAAUGCUACGUGCUUUUAUUGCCACUCGAUUGGAAGGAUGUGUGCAGCUUGUGAGUAUCCAUUAAUUAGUGCUGCAGUUGCUCCGUGCUGCUAUCAAUAAAACCUUCAUGGUACGUGGUGAUUUCUUCCUUUUUCCACAUGCCCUUGUGAAGAUGCCUGUCCGUGCAGUGCCCUGUGAGCAGAGUAUGCCACCGUGCCUGAUUUCAUAGCAAGAGGACUGUAAAAUCCUUCAGCAGUUACCCCCAGUGCUGCUUUCCUUAUAAAGGAUCUUUGAUAUGCAGUACUUUCUUGCACGCGCAAAGUCAUCGACGUUUUUCUUUCUUUUGCUGAAACAUGCUAAUUCUUAAAAUGGCUCCUGCGCAGGCAUUGCCGGCUGCACUUAGUGCCUGCAGUGCGAUGGGUUAGCAGCAGCGACAGCAAAGGCUCUCCUUCAUUUCCUUUAUAUGCACAUCGUGCAGCUUUUCAAACAGUGCAUCAAACAACACCGACUGGAAAUUUCCAGGCCCAUUUCCUGUCUGGUACAUGCUCAUAAAGCAGGAUUGUCUGUACGGUGCGUAGCUGCAGUACUGCAGAAAGUCAAUAAAGAGCUGACCACCUCACCUCUAUCAAAAGCAGUUGAGAAGCCCUGCCUCAUCUGCCUUAUUAAAACCACACUUGACUCCUGCAGAGAGACAUAGCUGGAAACCUUGAAGAGAAGGAUUAAAAAGGAGGCAGAGCCUGCAGUGAGUAUUCUCCUUCUGGGUCUUGCAGUAAGGUUAAAGAGUAUUUAUUUUAAAAUGAACUGAAAAAAGCAGAUUCGUUAAGGUCUUGCGUAAGUGUGGGCAUUUUGCUUGAACCUCUGACUCUCCCACAUUCAGUAUGACACAGAGAUAAGAUGAUUCGUUAUUGCAGCAAUCAGUAGAUUUAAAUAGCUCCCUGAUGGAUUAGUAUUUUAAAUGUAAGGAUGUGGACGCAUAUAGAUGUGCAUGUGUGUACGUACUUAAUCUUUGCAAGAAAAGGCAUAUUGUAGAAAUAGAUUCAAGAGGUAGGAUUUGUGCUGCAGAAUGUAUUUCAGUACACACUUGAAAGGCUGCUUAUUUUUUUUAUUUCUUAUAUAAGAGUAAUUGAUUGAAUGUUUGCCAGGCUUUCAGUGGGAGCCACCAGGAGUCCCCACCCCCCACCUUCCCAGGGCCCGAUAGCUUUUUCUCACCUUAAAAUGGAAAAAGAAAUAACUUUUAACAGAAAGAUCGUUGCUUGAGCUUAAUAUGGUAAGAUUUCAGAGAUUGAAUUUUCUGAUAGUAAUGAAAUGAACCCUGAGUUGUGCCAUGAAUUUGAUUGCAGUUAAUUAGAUUGUUGAGAUGCUCAACAAACCUAGCCCAUUAGCUUUAGCUUCACAUAUUUUGGAUUUGUAUGAAGCGGUAUUCUUUAUAUAUACAUAUAUAAAUGUAUGUAUAAUAUGAAAACUUGUCUGGCAGCUCGGUUGCUUGGAACAAUUACUGUCUGUGAGUAGUUACUAACAAUAGCGUUGUUGGAAAUGUCGGUGUGCUGCUGACCAUUAAUCCCACUGUGUUUAUUGCUUUGGUGGCACAGGCUUGGUUUGCCUUUUCACAAGGAAGAAUACAGCUGCAUUUCAGCAAAGAGACAUACACAAGCUCUGUCCUGCAGCUCUUUCCAGUUCUCAUUGAUCUUAAUGAGACUAGUCACAUGAAUAGGAGCGACUCGUGUCAAAAAGGAUUUUUUGGCUGAAACUCACAAUUUCUAUUUAUUUGAUGUGGAGUGAAGAGCUCCUGUUGUUGGGUUUUGGCAGUGGGGAAUAUUUGCAGAGUGGGGUGUCCCAUGAGAUGGUCUCAUUGUCUUGCCUUUGCUCUUUAUGCAUUCUACUCUUUUUCAGCAAUUAGAAAGGUGGAGUAUUUGGUGAUGGCUGAAAACUACUGGCAUGAAACUACAACUAACCAGGAAUAGCACUGAAGAGCCGUUCGUGUUGGGUGAAAAACAGAAGGAGGAUUCUGUUACUGGGGAGAUGGGCUCUCCAGGGCAGUGGGCGCAGCCCUGAGUGCCAGAGUUCAAGGAGCGUCUGGACAACGCCCUCCGUCAAAGGGUUUGAUUUUGGGUGGGCCUGUGUGGAGCCAGGGUUGGACUCCAUGAUCCUUGUAGGACUCUUUCAACUUUUGGGAUAUUCAUUGAUUUUGUAUGACUUGACAUGCAGCCCAGCGGUGCAUGGGAGGGAGAGCUCCCGUCAGAGGUAGGAGGUGUAGGUACCUGGCGUUGGGCUGGGCCCAGCAUCUCCCUGAAGCUGCCAGGGGUUGUCUCUUUGCUUGGCUGCUCCUGCUGUGCCCAGUGGGCACCCACUGAGGGAACCGGGCAGGCUCUGCCCAUCACAUGGGGAGCUGCACGAGUCCUUGUGAAGGGUGCUGCAGCUCCCCCAUUGCCACCGCCUUGGAAUAAGUCAGAGGCACCGUGUCUGAUGUUUCUCAGGCAAUGCUAGCUAGAAAGGAAACAAUUUUACAGAUCAGCAGUUUUUUAUGAUUAAUAAUAUUAUCCUGCCUUAAUUGAAAAAUGGGCUGAGGCCCUUAAGAAAAAAUUAAGCUGCAGGAAUUAGAAUCUAACCUCUUUAUGAUGAAUGUGUAUUUUUACACGCCACAUAUUACUGUCAGUGCUUUUGGAAAUAAUGGCACGGCAUAUUGUAAUAAAGAAUUGUCCCGUGUUGUUUGUAGUUGCGUGGCACCAUUCUGUCUGCCUGACUUGACUUUAAGAGCUCGGGUAGAAUCCAUGUGAGGGUGCUGAAAUCCUUUUAGAGGGAAUUUAUGUACAAACAGGGGAGCGAUGUGUAGGCUCCAGGCUUCGCUAUCAGUUGUUAUUGCUGAGAGAUAUUCACAGGGAGCUAAUGCCAGACACAGCAUUAGCUAUCUUCAGCCUUGGUGCCUUUGUGGAAAGUUGGUAAUAAAAUGAGAGAGGGCUCCCGUCGGCAUGAUUCUUAAACAUCAGUGAAUCAUCUUAUGCAGCAAGUCAGUUGCUGCUGGGGUGAGUGUGUGCAGGGGUCUUGGUGAGCCUCUUUCUCUACCUAAACAAGGCGUGAGAGGGAGCAAACCUGCUGCUGUCUAACCCGGCAUGGAGCCACAGCUGCCUUCCCCCUGGAGAACCACAGCUUCAGCAGCGGCCGGGGGGAGCGUCUCUGAAAGCAGGUAAACGUGGGAGAUGUGAGCGUAGCACCUUGAAAUACAGACACUGUAUUCCCCCCCCAGAGCUUUCAGAUACUCCCGUCAGCUUAAAUACUGCUAACCCAAACAUUCGAACAUGAUGAGUCAAAUCUCCCUGGAAACCAAGCAGAGAAGAACCCGCAUGUGUGGAGUCGCUGGUGCUGGUGUUUGUCUCCGACAGACAGCAUGAGAAGCUCUCCUCCUCCGCCUCCUCCUUCCAAGGGGACAUAGCAGAGCAGUCAGGAGGAAAGGCUGGGCUGGCAGCGAGGCGGAGGAUCGUCGGCUGUGGGAUGCUCACGCAAGGGCUCCGCCAGGAUGAAAGGAAAAUCAUGCCGUUUGCUUUUCAAGCCUAAGAAGCCUUUUAAUGCCAGCAUAAGUCUACAUCCUUCCUACAGUCUUGCUCCAGAAGUAAACACGUGGGCACAGCGCAUGUGUCGAAACGUGUGGGUCGAGGUGUGGUGAAUCCCGGGAGCUCUGGCACAAGACACGUCCCUCAAGUACGUCCAGUUUUUCCCUCCAUCACUUUAAUGUGGAAUUUCUAAGGCCCCCACCCUCCUGCCAUUUUGCCAGCCCUGCAGGAUACCGAAGGCAGCACCGUGGCCCCCAGUGUCCCUGUCCCAAAGAACUGAUGCAGGUGGAUGUCCCCACGGUCACAGGAGCAUGUUCCCCACCUGAACAGGGAUUCGGAGUGCGAAAGCUGCAGCGAGGUUGCAAGGGAUGUCACCGAACUCUGCGGCAUGUGACUCAGCUGUAAUUAUGGCUGGCAAAUUUAUAUUUGUCCUUUGCAUGUCAGGUUCAAUGCAUCAGAUUUCCGUACGCUGUCUGGGGCUCGGCUUAGUGCAAGCUGAGCAAGCUGCUGCUGCAUGGGCAUUGCCAUGCUGCUCCAAGGGGAAAAAAGAGCCCUGUCUGGGCAGGGUUUGUUCCCAGCAGCAUGCUGCAGGGCUCUUCUGCUGCAGCAGCUUUGAGACAGGCAGGAUCAGGAUGUGCUGUGGAUAAGAGAUGUGGGCAUCAGAGAAUAGCAGUGUCUCCAAUGGUUUGUCGUGUUUCAUAGCACCUGCUUAUACAUAACCUUAUGUACACUUUGGGUACGUCACAAUUUGGGCUGUAAAGAUAAUUUUUUUGUGAAGCUUUUCAGUUGGGUGUAAAAAUUCACUGUGAUGAGGCUGAAAUUUGUCAGGGCAACGCUCUGCUUGCCCCCAGCAUUUACCAUCUGUAUGCGUUGGGAGUAAGGGCACUGCUCUUGGGACCAUGACAGGAUUUUGUUUAAAUUGGUCUGAUUUGUUUUUAAAUGAGCAGAAAGUGAGUUCUCUGCUCCGCAGAAUGGAUUGCGAAGCAGGGGCUGUUGACAACAGCAAUGCAGUUGACAGACGCAUUGCGCUAGGCCGGCCCUGCGCAGUCAGUAGGCCCGCUGCUGUGUGCCAGCUCAUUCUGCAGGCCUGGCUGAGACCAGCCGGUCAGGCCGCUGCCUCCCAGAGCAACCACACUUGGUCCCUGCUAAAGAGUCUGUCUGUCCUUCUUACAGCCCCCCCUAGAUCCUGAAAGGUGCUCUCAGGUCUCCCCGGAGCCUUCUCUUUUCAGGCUGAACAGCCCCAGCUCUCUCCUGUCCUCAUAGGACAGAUGUUCCAUCCCUUGGGUCAUUUUUUUUGUCCCUCUUCUGGACACACUCCAUCUGUGGUUUAUAUGUACAGGAGAGCUACUGGUACAUUAAUAGCGCUGUGUGAAAGCUCGCUUCCUCCAAAUACUUUUUUUCUAUUCCAGCAAAGACCUUAAUAACAACAUGGGAAGUCCUUAUGUGUGUGCAGCCAUAACAACACAGCACAAAAGUCACAGGAUGCAAGGUGAUUUACAGCUCACUGCUGUGUGUCAGUGCGUGCCCCAGUUGCCCCCUGCCUUAUCUACUGCAGAAGGAUGCAGAAAGAUGGGGAGGGUUCUGGCUGCAGGCAGUUGCAUGCAUGGCAUUGGGUGGUCCCACAGCGAGCACCCACAGCCCUGGGAAAAGCUGACAUCGGCAGGGGAUCAGCAAGCAGGCCGGAGUUAUCGCCGCCCUCAUAAUGGCAUUUCUGCAUAGCUAACAUAUCAUUUCCUGUAGAGCUGUACACAUCGUUGCUUAGUGCCGUGAACUUAACUCUUAUCAGCAUCCCGGUGGGAAAACGCAAGUUAUUUACAAUAGCUUUCUUUUCGGUGUCGUAAGCUUAUUUUCAAUUAAAACAAACAGCAAAUUAAAUAUUAAAUAGAUAAGUAGGGAAAGUGAAAUUAAUUGAUUUUCCGGCACCGGGGUGAGGUAGAGAGAGGAACCUUAAGGCGGUUUUGCCAAGCUGCACUGCCUUCCUUUUUGCUUAUCAGAUAUGUGGGAUUGGCUUUAAAAGCCAGGCAGCUCUCAAUAUGCGUAGCGAAGCAGCAGUCCUUGAAGUAACAGCAGUACAUACUUCAGAUUAUUCUUUAUUAAAGGAGAAAUGUAGUACAGCUUUCACUGCUAAAAGCAACAUUGGAAAAUGCAGUUUGGUGUGAGUCCUCUCCAUAGAACCACAGAUAAACAGAAUGGGUUAGGUUGGAAGGGACCUCAAAGCCCACCUAGCCCCAACCCCUGCCGUGGGCAGGGCUGCCCCCCACCAGCUCAGGCUGCCCAGGGCCCCAUCCAACCUGGCCUUGAGUGCCUCCAGGGAUGGGGCA
Molecule: RNA transcript, 16733 nt
Organism: Numida meleagris (helmeted guineafowl)
Lineage: Eukaryota; Metazoa; Chordata; Aves; Galliformes; Numididae
Gene: RAI2
Gene name: retinoic acid induced 2
Exons: 2
Source: RefSeq, a predicted model, not a curated record